AUGCCCGGCCCGGCCGCCGGCAGCAGGGCCCGGGUCUACGCCGAGGUGAACAGCCUGAGGAGCCGCGAGUACUGGGACUACGAGGCGCACGUCCCGAGCUGGGGUAAUCAGGACGAUUACCAACUGGUUCGGAAACUCGGCAGGGGAAAAUACAGCGAAGUCUUUGAGGCCAUAAACAUUACCAACAACGAGAGAGUGGUUGUGAAAAUCCUCAAGCCAGUGAAGAAAAAGAAGAUAAAACGAGAGGUUAAGAUUCUGGAGAAUCUGCGAGGUGGCACCAACAUCAUUAAGCUGAUUGACACUGUCAAGGAUCCAGUGUCAAAGACCCCAGCUUUGGUGUUUGAAUACAUCAAUAAUACAGAUUUUAAGCAACUGUACCAGAUCCUGACAGACUUUGAUAUUCGGUUUUAUAUGUAUGAGCUGCUCAAGGCCCUGGAUUACUGUCACAGCAUGGGGAUCAUGCACAGGGACGUCAAACCCCACAACGUCAUGAUAGACCACCAACAGAAAAAGUUGCGGCUCAUAGACUGGGGUUUGGCAGAGUUCUACCAUCCAGCUCAGGAAUACAAUGUCCGCGUGGCCUCGAGGUACUUCAAAGGACCGGAGCUCCUUGUGGACUACCAAAUGUAUGACUAUAGCUUAGACAUGUGGAGUUUAGGCUGCAUGCUGGCCAGCAUGAUCUUCCGAAAGGAGCCCUUCUUCCAUGGCCAGGACAACUAUGACCAGCUGGUUCGCAUUGCUAAGGUUCUGGGCACAGAUGAACUGUAUGGGUAUCUGAAGAAGUACCACAUAGAACUGGAUCCACACUUCAAUGAUAUCCUGGGACAGCACUCGCGAAAACGCUGGGAGAACUUCAUCCAUAGCGAGAACAGACACCUGGUCAGUCCUGAAGUCCUGGACCUUCUGGACAAACUUCUGCGAUAUGACCAUCAACAGAGACUGACUGCCAAAGAGGCUAUGGAGCACCCAUAUUUCUACCCAGUGGUGAAGGAGCAGUCCCAGCCCAGCUCAGAAAAUGCCGUGCUCUCCAGUGGCCUGACAGCAGCACGAUGAAGACUGGAAAACAAUGGGUCCGAUGCUGUUCCUCCCAAUUUUCCAUAAGCAGAACAAGAACCAAAUCAAACGUCUUAUCAGCGUGUGUACAGAGCUGGCGGCCAGACGGCGUUGCGGUGGCAGGGGACGAGACCAGAGACCGCACCGGCUCCAUGGCACCCACCAGUUUAUAAACACAAACCUUACUUCUGAAUGUAAAAGGUUCCUCUGCCUUUGACUUCCUGUUGACCUCUUCCUGACCCAGAAAGCAUGGAAAAUGUGAAGGCAUCGUUUCCUGCAUUACACGUCUCUUGGGAAGAGGAGAGAGAAUGGAGAUGCCUUGGAUAAAAGUUGAAAUUGCCUUGAUUUUUCUUUAGAAUUCACUGAGAAACUAGGACAAAUGGUUUGAAAACACAAAAUGUUUCCAUGUAUAUUGCUCCUGCAAAACAGCUGGCAGUAAGAUGUGUGCCUGGACAGCAUCUGCACGGUGGAUGAAUGAGGGGCUGGGCUAUUCAGGAAUGGCAGCUGUAUAUUUGCCCUCAUCUCAUGUGUUAACAGAUUGGAUUUAUGGAGUCAUUUAUUUAACUGUGUUGUAUAAAGUGU
This is an RNA transcript of Emys orbicularis (European pond turtle), 1635 nucleotides long. It is a transcript of the gene named casein kinase 2 alpha 2, with no coding region annotated. The transcript has 13 exons. The record is from RefSeq and is a predicted model, not a curated record. Lineage: Eukaryota; Metazoa; Chordata; Testudines; Emydidae.